GCUCUGGGAUAGCUCAGUUGGUAGAGCAUGAGACUCUUAAUCUCAGGGUUGUUGGUUUGAGUUUCACCUUGGGCA
Non-coding RNA from Podarcis lilfordi (Lilford's wall lizard), 75 nucleotides. Lineage: Eukaryota; Metazoa; Chordata; Lepidosauria; Squamata; Lacertidae. The record is from the annotation of a GenBank genome assembly.